AUGACUUUGAUCUGCGUCCUCAUCUGGACUCUCCUCUGCUGCUGCUUCAAAGAGUCCAGAGGUCAGUUCACAGUGACUCAGCCUGCAGCAGUGAGAGCUGAUCUGGGAGGAUCUGUUACCAUCAGAUGUAAAACCAGUCCAAGUGUUUACAACAAAGAACGUUUAGCCUGGUACCAAGAGAAGAGAAAAACUGGGAAAGCUCCUAAACUCCUGAUAUAUUUGGCUAGAAUUCGUCAGUCUGGAAUUCCAACUCGUUUCAGUGGAAGUAUUCCUGGUUCUGAAUUCGCUCUGAACAUCAGUGGAGUUCAGGCUGAAGAUACAGGAGUUUAUUACUGUCAGCAGAGUUACAACUACCCACUGUGGUACACGUUUGGUGAAGGAACCAGAUUGGAUGUUGGAAGUGAUGCUCGUCCCACCCUGACAGUGCUGCCCCCCUCCAGUGAGGAGCUGCAGCAGGGGAAGGCCACCCUCAUGUGUCUGGCCAACAAGGGCUUCCCCUCAGACUGGAGUCUGUCCUGGAAGGUGGACGGCAGCAGCAGCAGCAGCAGCUGGGAGGAGAACAAGAGCCGAGGAGUGCUGCAGAAGGACGGCCUCUACAGCUGGAGCAGCACCCUGAGGCUUCCUGCAGAGCAGUGGAGGAAGGUGGGCUCUGUGACCUGUGAGGCCACCCAGGGCUCCCAUUGUCCAGUAACAGAGACACUAAAGAGAGACCAGUGCUCCCAGUCCUGA
Molecule: non-coding RNA, 729 nt
Organism: Cyprinodon tularosa
Lineage: Eukaryota; Metazoa; Chordata; Actinopteri; Cyprinodontiformes; Cyprinodontidae
Source: the annotation of a RefSeq genome assembly